CCUUCUUAUACUUUUUUUCCUAAUCGUCCCUCCAGUGAACCUAGCUUUUCUAGCCCUGCCUUUUCAGAGUUUUUUUUCUUUUUUUUUUCUCCCCCGCCCCCAGCACCUUCUUUAAGGCUAAAGCUCCAUUUAAAAUGGUACGUGUGAUCCCUGGUAUAAGCUUGAAUCUCAAAGGAAGGAUGAAAAGGAGCCUUCGGUGGAGAUCCGAAGUGGCCUUUCAGUCUUGGGCACAGCUGCGGGGAUCAGAGUGUAUUGUAUUGCUCACACUGGGGGUUAUAAAGAAGACUCUAGCAGAUACUUAGAGACCAGUCCACGGCCAGCAGAACUGACUCUCAAUGCAACAGCCUGAGCACAACCUGGGACAGAAUGCCAGCAAGACAACACUCUCCUCUGGGCCCCUGGGACUCCAGGACAGCGGACAUUUAUUAUUUCCUAUAUGAUGGUGGGUGCCAGGUGCUUUGCCAGGCACAGAGACAUAAAGCUGCUCACAGUCUCCAGCAGGUGAGGAGACAGUAGAGAAACAAUUCUAAAUAAAUGGGUGCCAUUCCAUGUGA
Molecule: long non-coding RNA, 554 nt
Organism: Homo sapiens (human)
Lineage: Eukaryota; Metazoa; Chordata; Mammalia; Primates; Hominidae
Exons: 2
Source: RefSeq, a predicted model, not a curated record